Macrosteles quadrilineatus (aster leafhopper) is the source of this 573-nucleotide long non-coding RNA. RefSeq lists it as uncharacterized. The record is from RefSeq and is a predicted model, not a curated record. The transcript is spliced from 3 exons. Lineage: Eukaryota; Metazoa; Arthropoda; Insecta; Hemiptera; Cicadellidae.
UUGAAUAGCAUGCAUUGAUGAUGUGGUUGCAUACAAUGACCUGACGAUGUUCUAAGGAACGGAACUAGUUGUCAUACUAGCAACUGUGGUUGGAUAAGGAAGGAAACUAGUCAUCAUACCAACAACUGUGGUUGAAUAAGGUCUGCUGGGGUCUCUGAGUCUCUCAAGGUGUGACUUCAUUUGAUACAAUGGCGAGUUCCAGUUGUUGAUGGAAACAUAACCUUAUUUAGCUGUGCCAAUUCAGCCCCAUGUAGACUACCGCAUUAAAGUAAGAUCUACCCAUUUAUUUAGUAUAUUUUAGAAGGAUUUUUUAUUUUGUUGGGAAACUAUGAUUUUGUUAUUCUGAUUAUAAAGCUACAUCUAUCGAUUUGGGAGUAGUUAAUAAUUAUUUCCCAUGACCACAUGAAUCUCAUACUAAAAGGCCUGACAAACACAAUUGUCUUAGGUACUACAAAAGCUAUAAUAUUAUAAGUUAUUUUAUUCUGUAGACCAAUUGGUUCAUACAAAGGGUGUACAUUAGUUUUGUAGUAAAGAAAUAAUUUCUUAUUUACAAUUGUAACGGUAAUGCCAAUA